GCUGACUGGAAGGCUAUGGGAACUCGGAUAAAAGCAUCUCGGAGCAUCGCAACAGCAGGUCAAACUCUGAGGUGGAUGAGCUACAGUAGCAGAAGACCACAUCAGGUUCUACUCCGGUGGGUGUGCUAAGAGCUGUGACUCAGAGGAGAAACAGGAAGUAUUUUGUGCUCAAAAACUUCACCCCCUCCACUAAAUCUCUUCCUCUGUCUGUCUUCAAGCUGAGAAAAAGUCCUACAGCAAGACAUAUUUAAUUUCCAAUUUCUCCAACGUUGGGCCUCUUGCGUAGUCACGGAUAGGCAUCUCCCCGUCGCUCGGUCACUCAAACCCUACACCUCAAAACACAGCCGGAUGAAUAGAACGAUAGAGGGGUGAAGACGAAGGCGGAGGAGUGAUCAGACCGGCGUGUAGCUCUGUCAGGCAACCCGACUCUCCUCGCCGUGGGGCGUCCUCGGGUUUUAUUCCCCCGGGUCCAGUUACCGGCUACACGUAAGCUUAACCAGGCCAGAUGAACACACACACACGGACAGACACAGUCACGGACACGCAAACACAAACACACGGACUAAACGCAGGCAGGAUGGAGCCGGAGCCAGAAGAAAGCGUGCCUGAACUGGCCGAGGGAAUCAUGCAGUUAAGUGCACGGACUUGUUCUGUUCUGCCAUGUAGAUCAGACUGCGUGUGUGUGUGUGUUUAAGAUCUUCAGUGGCCACGCCUUACAUCUGUAGGCCCUCACCGCAAUCUCUCGUGCAGCGCUCUUCUUUCACUUCCUUCCUGUUUGGUUUCUCCGUCUGGUGUGGGUUUAGGACUA
This is a long non-coding RNA of Ictalurus punctatus (channel catfish), 808 nucleotides long. NCBI's taxonomy places the organism in Eukaryota, Metazoa, Chordata, Actinopteri, Siluriformes, Ictaluridae. The record is from Ensembl.